This 253-nucleotide ribosomal RNA is filed under the name uncultured bacterium. Its description in RNAcentral is "partial 16S ribosomal RNA". It matches the Rfam family "Bacterial small subunit ribosomal RNA", at positions 524 to 776 of the family's 1533-position model. The record is from RNAcentral.
GACGUAGGGGGCGAGCGUUAUCCGGAUUUACUGGGCGUAAAGGGCGCGUAGGCGGACCGUAUUGCCACCAUUGAAAGCGCGAGGCUCAACCUCGGAAUGGGUGGUGGGACGAGCGGUCUAGGGGCAAGCAGAGGAAGGUGGAAUUCCGGGUGGAGUGGUGAAAUGCGUAGAGAUCCGGAGGAACACCAGGGGCGAAGGCGGCCUUCUGGGCUUGACCCGACGCUGAGGCGCGAAAGCGUGGGGAGCGAACUGA